UCCAGCGCCACGUGACGCGGUCCCGAUCUCCCGCUGCCGGCCUCGAGUCUCGGCCAGGCUCCACGGCUCUGCCCCCACUUGGAGACUGGAAAAGCGUCUGGAUGGCGCUGCGGGCCCAGCGCGGGCCAGCGCCCCUGUGGCUCCUGCAACGCUCAGCAUGGCCCGCGCCCCCUUGGCUCCUGCAAAGUCCAGCAUCGGCCAGCGCCCCCUUAGCUCCUGCGGACUGACCCUUAUGGGGCUGUGCUGCCCGCUGCCCCCGUGGUGUCAGGGGCCGAGGCCGCGCUGUGGGUGGUUUCUGGUGAUGAUGGCGUCAUGGACUCAAGUGGUAACAAGUGGGCCGAUCACAUGCUGGCUCCCUGGCCCUGCAGCAGUAUCUCAAGGCUGCUAGUCCACGUGUGUAAGAGCAGUCUUCAGGGACAGCCUGGAUUUCGAAGUCCCAGCUCAGCCUUAGACCUGGCUACUUGAAGGAAGUUUGAAGGCCACCAUCGGUGGCCCUCAGGAUGACUUGGGCUGGGGUUUGUUGAUAUUUCUCCACAAGAUUCUGUGGCUAUUUGUGGAUCUGAGGGGGCAGAGAAUGGAGAAUGAGCUCAUCCUAUGAAGCAUCAGUGGUCCUGCUCUCUGCUGCCUGCCCAGAGCAUCAUGGAACUGUUCACUCCUGUGUGACAUCGUCGGGGACUAAGGGCUUGCAGCCUUGACGGCAGUACCUCAAGAAGACUGCUGCUCCUUUCAGAAGUCUGCCUGUUCUGCUCCCCUCUCUGUCUGGUGAAUCCUCUUACCUGUACCUCGGGCCUGU
This is a long non-coding RNA of Condylura cristata (star-nosed mole), 793 nucleotides long. RefSeq lists it as uncharacterized. The record is from RefSeq and is a predicted model, not a curated record. The transcript is spliced from 5 exons. Lineage: Eukaryota; Metazoa; Chordata; Mammalia; Eulipotyphla; Talpidae.